UCAGACCUGAACUACAGCCUACCACUUUGCCUCAGGUUGAUUAAAGGAAAUAACACCUUUCUUCAUCAUUAAGAGUUGGCUUGCAGAGAGAGGAGGAAGAAAGACAGCUGCAAACUCAAAAUAUCCACAGGCUUCCCCUACAUGAACUGCGCUAAGAACCUGGAGCUGGCUGCAAUGGGCCACUGGGCUAAACUGUACUACUGAUUUAUUUCCAUAAUUACAAGCAGCACAGCCCUUCAACAAAGAAGAACAAUUUGGCUCUGGAAAGUAGAUGGACACCUUUAAAAUAGCUCAGCUUACUGUAUGCCAGCCACAGACAAAACACAAAGGAAGACAUGACCUCCGCUUCAAUAUACUCACAAGCACGGGAAAGAAAGAACUGGCAGAAAGAGGGGCUGGUAUGAUGUAUAUUAAUAAUAUUCAGAAGAAUGAGAAGUUGCUUUCCCCCUGAUACAACUUUUUUCUAUGUUGGAUAAACUUUUCCUUUCUUAAACAAAAGCAUUAAAAGAAAUGAUUUUAUAUUGUCAGUGGAUGCCUACAAUAAUAAACGCCUCUGUUCUUUUUA
RNAcentral lists this long non-coding RNA (565 nucleotides) under Pogona vitticeps (central bearded dragon). Its description in RNAcentral is "lncRNA (ENSPVIG00000015716.1)". Lineage: Eukaryota; Metazoa; Chordata; Lepidosauria; Squamata; Agamidae. The record is from RNAcentral.